AUCUCUGUCGGUGAGAAAAUGUGUGUGGAUGCUGACUUCUAGAAGACUCCAAAGCGCUUGUCUUCCCCACUCCCCAUUUCCAAAGGCUGAGACUCCUCUGCACUCCGAGUUUCCUCCCACGCUUCGUCUGAAGAGUGGGUUUUGGGGAGUGAAGGAUAGAAAAUAUCUGAAGACUCUUCCCUAUGACUUAAGACAUGAAUUUUCUUCUCAAGUCUUGAACUAAAGUCAGAAAGUGUUUGCAAGAAAUGUUCUUCUAGGUCCCACAUCCACGGGACCAGAUGAUGCCUGGCUCAAUGCAUUCCUAUCUGAAGUGGGGCAGAGAGGCUGGCAGCCUUCUUUACUAACCAGGCCUGGGAUGAGGUCAGGGGACACUGCUCCGUCACAAGCUCCUCCCUCCCUCUGCUCUACAGACCAGCGACCCAUCCUGGUGAGGUCACCGAGUUGUCCUGUGUGGAGUCCGGCUCUUGUUUCCAAUGGGGAAAACAGCUUUCCUCAGAAAGUUCUACUCCCUCUGGGGAAAACGACUGAGAGGCUCUUGGCAGGGCUAUUCCCAGUUUCCUCACUAAUUACUCUGGGAUAUUCCCUCCUGAAUGAAGAAACUUCUAUAAUUUGGGUUAUAAAAGAUCUCUUUGAAUUUUC
RNAcentral lists this long non-coding RNA (639 nucleotides) under Homo sapiens (human). Its description in RNAcentral is "HSALNT0401980". The record is from RNAcentral. Lineage: Eukaryota; Metazoa; Chordata; Mammalia; Primates; Hominidae.